This 448-nucleotide ribosomal RNA is filed under the name uncultured bacterium. RNAcentral's name for it is "bacterial SSU rRNA". It matches the Rfam family "Bacterial small subunit ribosomal RNA", at positions 330 to 792 of the family's 1533-position model. The record is from RNAcentral.
ACCAGACUCCUACGGGAGGCAGCAGUGGGGGAUAUUGGACAAUGGGGGAAACCCUGAUCCAGCGACGCCGCGUGAGUGAAGAAGUAUUUCGGUAUGUAAAGCUCUGUCAGCAGGGAAGAAAGAAAUGACGGUACCUGACCAAGAAGCCCCGGCUAACUACGUGCCAGCAGCCGCGGUAAUACGUAGGGGGCAAGCGUUAUCCGGAAUUACUGGGUGUAAAGGGAGCGUAGACGGUGAUGCAAGCCAGGAGUGAAAGCCCGGGGCCCAACCCCGGGACUGCUCUUGGAACUGCGUGGCUGGAGUGCAGGAGGGGCAGGCGGAAUUCCUGGUGUAGCGGUGAAAUGCGUAGAUAUCAGGAGGAACACCGGUGGCGAAGGCGGCCUGCUGGACUGCAACUGACGUUGAGGCCCGAAAGCGUGGGGAGCAAACAGGAUUAGAUACCCCCGUA